This 301-nucleotide ribosomal RNA is filed under the name uncultured bacterium. RNAcentral's name for it is "partial 16S ribosomal RNA". It matches the Rfam family "Bacterial small subunit ribosomal RNA", at positions 509 to 807 of the family's 1533-position model. The record is from RNAcentral.
CAGCAGCCGCGGGAAUACGAAGGGUGCAAGCGUUAAUCGGAAUUACUGGGCGUAAAGCGUGCGUAGGCGGUUUGUUAAGUCUGUUGUGAAAUCCCCGGGCUCGACCUGGGAAUGGCAAUGGAUACUGGCAAGCUAGAGUGUGUCAGAGGAUGGUGGAAUUCCCGGUGUAGCGGUGAAAUGCGUAGAGAUCGGGAGGAACAUCAGUGGCGAAGGCGGCCAUCUGGGACAACACUGACGCUGAGGCACGAAAGCGUGGGGAGCAAACAGGAUUAGAUACCCCGGUAGUCCCUGUCUCUUAUAC